AAACAUUUGGGAUAUGUAUCUUAGUCCUUUAAGGAGGCCUUUCAUCUGGCCUUUCACAGCAGUUGGGUUCAUUUUUACGGUUCCACCUCCUUGAUUCAUUUUGAAGUACUAUAAAACCUUGCACUUAAAGUUGUUGACACUUUCAAUCUUCAAUGGAAUCAAAAAAUUAAAAUUAAAAUAAAUCAUAUAAUAAAUCUAUUCAUUUGAUCAUUUCAUCUCAUAAUAAAGUCAUUCAUCAAAAUAAUUACAACAACUACUUGCUAUUCACCUAAUCAAAUAUAUUUUUAGCCAAAGUUUUAAGAAAAGUAUACAUGACAAAAUUUUACAUAUCUACUUUUGCUAUUAUGCUAUAUGUUAUUUUCACAUUCGUGCAAUUUUGCAGGAGAUCUUUUCUAAUUUUUUUUAGAUAAGUUAAUUGAAUAUCGUACAUCAAAAGAUAUUUAGACAUACCAACUAAGUUGACACAGAUCUUUUCUAAAUUCAAAUGAAACACAACAAAAACUUUCACAUAUAUGCUUAAUCAUGUUCAAUAUGCACAAUUUCAAAACAAAACGAUUAUAUUAAUACAAGAUGGUUAAAAUCAAAGUACCUUUUUCCGAAAACCAAAUGAUCAAAACAAACAAAAAAAAAAAAACGAACGUGACUAAAUAUGUAUUAUACCUCAAAAAGAAAUGUUGGAAUGAACCCUAUACUAAUUAAUUUUUUUGGUUGUCCUUGUUUCAAAGAGCUGAAAAUGAGAAAUUAAGCAUCAAGAAAAAAAUGAUGAAUUAAGAAAAAAUGUUGAUAACAACAACAUGGGAGGAAAAAAGGUUAAGCACACAGUUCUUGGCUGGCUGGGGAAGGUUUGGAUAGAGAAUGAAUAAUUAUCUAACCAAACCAAAGAAACCAACCAAAAAGAGGGAGAGUUUGAGGAAAAUCUCAAAAAGCAAAAUUGAAAGCUUACUGGAUUUUGAUCUACAGCCCCCAAUCGGUGGCCAAGCAAAUCAAAACCAGUAACUACUAAACAGGUUUUUUUGAU
This 1018-nucleotide long non-coding RNA is filed under the name Trifolium pratense (red clover). Its description in RNAcentral is "long non-coding RNA (TPRA_LNC013391)". Lineage: Eukaryota; Viridiplantae; Streptophyta; Magnoliopsida; Fabales; Fabaceae. The record is from RNAcentral.